CUCUCCGAGGUUGUAUGGCGAAGUCUACGCAGAGGCGGUGCUGGCGUCGCGGCGGGGCUGUGGGCAGGCUUCGGCGCGCUGAUGCGCUUGCGCGGGGCUAGAUCCUCGGCCCUUUGGGGAGCGUGGAGAUGGCGGCGGUUGGGGGACCUUCGCCGGAGCCGGCGGCUUCCGAACAGCCGGCGGAGCUCCCUGCGUCGGUGCGGGCGAGCAUAGAGCGGAAGCGGCAGCGGGCGCUGAUGCUGCGCCAGGCCCGGCUGGCGGCCCGGCCCUACCCGGCGACGGCGGCUGCGGCUACCGGAGGCGUGGCUAAUGUAAAAGCAGCCCCAAAGAUCACCGACACAGGAGGAGGCUUCAUUCUAGAAGAGGAAGAAGAGGAACAAUGUACAAUUGGAAAAGUUGUCCAUCAACCAGGACCUGUUAUGGAAUUUGAUUAUGCGAUAUGUGAAGAGUGUGGUAAAGAAUUUAUGGAUUCUUACCUUAUGAACCACUUUGAUUUGGCAACUUGUGACAACUGCAGAGAUGCUGAUGAUAAACACAAGCUCAUAACUAAAACAGAAGCCAAACAAGAAUACCUUCUGAAAGACUGUGAUUUAGAAAAAAGAGAACCAGCUCUUAAAUUCAUUGUGAAGAAGAAUCCUCAUCAUUCACAAUGGGGUGAUAUGAAACUCUACUUAAAAUUGCAGAUUGUGAAGCGGUCUCUUGAAGUUUGGGGCAGUCAGGAAGCAUUAGAAGAAGCAAAGGAAGUUCGACAAGAAAACCGAGAAAAAAUGAGACAGAAAAAGUUUGAUAAGAAAGUAAAAGAAUUACGGCGAGCGGUGAGAAGCAGCGUGUGGAAAAGGGAAACAGUUGUUCAUCAGCAUGAGUAUGGACCAGAAGAAAGCCUAGAGGAGGAUACAUACCGGAAGACUUGUACCAUGUGUGGCCACGAGCUGACCUAUGAGAAAAUGUGACUCGUAAAGUGUGAUGUUGCCACAGAUGAAUGGGACACUCCUAUAAAUCAUGCUUCAGGAAGAAAUUUUAAACACUGGACAGUGGGCAGCAAGACCUUCCUGGGACCAUGAGAAAGCUUCCAGCUUGAGGACAAGAGUACUGAGGGAUCCAGGCAGCUGACAACAGCAUUACUGCAUGGGAGAUAUAGAGCCCUUGAGCCACAUGGACCUAGGUUCCAAUUCCAUUUUUUAGCUGUGGGCCUUGGGUAAGUUACUCUGUGGGCCUGUUUCUAUCUGUCGGAUGGGCAUGAUCCUGUCAGGACUGUUUGAGGAUUACAUAUGGCAGAUCUGUAGCACGUGGCACCUAACAGCCACUUGUUAAUGAGCACAUUAAUAUAUAUAUAGUAUACAGUAUAUAGUUCCCAAUUUGUCUAGUUUCUUACAUCUUUGAAAUUCGGUCUGUAGUUUUCCCUAAACUUAGCUGCUAGACUGUGAGCGGGGUCACAUCAGUGCAUUCUUGACAUGAAGAGAGGAUCCAAGAAAUUCCUCUAGAAUUCGGAUCAAGCAAGUAUAAUUAGUCAAACUCUGCAAUACAUUGUGAAAGAUUUAUAAGUCCGUUUACGGUCAAAGUUCCCAAAGCCUUAAAGGGUCAUCCUUUUGGCUUCUUCAGGACAAGAGCCAUGUCUAACUGAAUACUAUUUGUGGGAAGGAGGAACAGUAUAACCAAAAGAAUAUUUAGCCAAGAGCCUGGGUUUUAGACUCCUUUCGGCUAGUAACCUGCCAUGCACCCUUAAUUCUGCGAACAAUUCUUGUUUUGCAUGGUAUGGUUAUUUAAAAAUCCUAGGAGUUCCCAUCUCUUGACUAUAUUCUGUAGUCACCAAAUGAAGGGUACUCCAAAGAGACCAUGUAACAAUAUGAAAAAUACUAAUCCAGCAUAAAUUUAUGACCUAAAUAAGUGAAAGAUACCUAUGUUGUACAAACAGAGAAAUACUACUUAUCAGUUGUGGGGUUGUUGAUAAAUUUUUCCUCAGGUUUAAUGAAGGCUUAUUAAAAUGCUAGAAAUUUGCAAUGUCAGAUAAUUCCCUAUUUUGCAUAUUUUACAUGUGUACUCAUUUAUUAUCUUAGUUAAGCUUUAAUACCAUGUAAGAAACUGGCUCAAGAAUUAGUAACUCCUUGGACUUAAAUUCUAUAGAAACAAAGUCCAUGCCUACAGUACAGUUUUAGCCAAUCCAAACUAGCUACUUCUAUUUCCACUUUAGCAUGUACUUCAUAAUUGGACCUUGGACAAAUCUGUCUCAGAGAACAGAGGAAAUGACCGGACAGCUCCAAGGUAAUGGUUCCCAAACUUGUCCACACACUGGCAAUCACCCGGGAUCACCUGGGGAGCCUUAAGAACUACGGCUGUGUCCCCCGCCCCCGUGGUUUAAUUUAGAAAAUAACUUUAAAGACUCUCAGGUGACUUAUAUUCAAACAGAUUUGGGUAGUGCUAAAUAAAUAACACUUAAUAUGUGUAACAUUUUAAAACACUAAGAUCUGAAGAGAGAUUUCUGAAUGAGGGAAGAAUUGUGAAUGAGGAAAUCACCAAUCUUAAAGUAGAUUGAGAUGAUAAAUCAUGAAAUACCAAAGUUUAAAAAACAUUUUUAGUUUUAUUUCAGCCAUGUUAGGUUAUCCAUGAGCUGUGAAAAGCUAUGCUACUUGAUGGUAAACCCACCAGUUCUAUAUACUACUUUGUAAGCUGGACCUCUAGUGUUCACAUACCUCAAAUCGCUUAUCUUUUGUGCCUUAAGGAGAAAAAAAUACCAGAACAGUUGUAUCUGUCACAGAUAUAAUACAUCCUAUGGUCAUCGUCACAUUGUCAGUAGGGAGUAUUUGCCUUGUAGGGCCAAUUAAAGGUAAUCAAUUCUCUAUUCUUCACUGUCCUCCUCCCCCCCUUUAGUAAGUGAAAGGGUGCUACAAGAAAGCAAGCAUUCAAACCAUCAAAAAUAAGACAAAUUAUUUUGAGAUAUUUAAAAAAAAAUCUUGACAGGGGAGUAAAACGACCCUUAGGCCUGUAGGGCACAGAACUGCUGGAACACAGCCAGGAUAUGAGGGUCUAAUUCGGCGGUGAAGAGCAGGUUCUCCAGGGUCACCAUGUACUGCUGGAUUAUUUGGUGAUGCUGUGGACGUAAAAAAAGGGGGUGUUUAGAUCAGGAGAAAGACCGCAUAAGCAAUCUCGCAGGACGUUUCCCUCAGCAGCCUGCCUACGUUGUGGAAUGAUGGGAAGGGUUUGGGGAAAAAAGUGGUUAUGCUUGAUAGGAAGAAUGGGCUCCUGGAAAGCCCCAACAUUAAGAACAUGUAGAGGGAAAUGAAGAAAAAGGGAUGUUUGAUAACUUAGAAACUGGUGAGAACUGAGUCCUUUACGUAAAUGUAGUUCAUGCUUCAAGGCUUGGCAAGAGUGCCUGGUGCUACAGACUAGGUUCAGCUGGGUCUCUCCUAAUUAGGACCAGACAGGACUUUGUAAACGGAGCCCAGACAGGGACUGACCCGGCAAGAUUAACAACCCAGGAAGGAGGAUUAGAAUGAAGGUUGCUGAAAGGUUGCUGAAACAAAUAUUUUGCAAUAAAAGUUUUUUUGCUCUUAUUGGUUAGAACAUUUAAGAUUGUAAAAGAAUACAGAAUUAGCCAAUGACCUGUUAAUUUUUUUUAACUAUUCCACAAAAUAAACCCAAACCUCAAUAUAGGUCUUAAAUAGCUCAUCUGUCUCACUGAAAAUCAGUGGCUUGAGGCUAUGUGGGAAGAAAGUGUCAUGAAAUAAUCUCUUCUAUGUGUGCCUGUCUGACUUGUAUACACGGAGAUCCCUACCGGACUAAAGAACGGCAGUUAGGAGUCUGAACUGCAUAUAGAACCAAUUUCACUCUGAAUAUUCUGAUGAGCAACAGGAGCAAACAGACAUUAAAAGAAACUUCCCAACAAAUCUGACCAUUUUUUAACAUGGAAAGUCCUUGUGGCUGGGAAUAGUGAUGUUCAUUAUCUAAUCAGGGUUUCCCACAAACCUGUAAGAAGAUCUGCUGGAGCCUCUCUAUACAGUUCUUAUACCAUGGUGUUAAUACGCUGGUCCCAUCGGUUUCACAUCGUACUAAGUGCUCGGUCAAGAUCAUGAUAAAACGCUGAAGAGGGGGUAUAAAGUUAAAGCAGUGUUAGAGGGAGAAUUCUUAUACCUCAAACAAUCACAUUUUUGACCAAGAGACCUCAAAAGGCAUUGCUUAUUCCACUCGGUUUUUGUGGUAUCGCUAACUUUUGUUAAGUCAAUAAAUUCUAGAAAUAGGCAGAUAAGUGAUAAUGUUAGUAUAUCCUUUUUUCAGUAUGUGAACACUUUUAAAUCUAGAUUAUUUGUGCUAGUAACUUUUCUCCACACCUAUUUCUAAGGACAUAAAUAAUGUUCAUCAAGAAGGAAAAUAAUCCAAAUGAUGAACAAGUGGGAAUAAAUAGGAGUGAGGUACUCCACAAAAGGAUCCUCAAAAAAUGUUUUUAAAGCCUGGAGCAAUGGUCAUGUAAGAAUGCUGUAAACGAAACAGACUGUGGAGGUACACAUGGUUAUUUCCUUUGCAAAUUUUUGUGAUUUAAAUUUUUGUGAUUUAAAUUUUUUUUUUUUUCAACGUUUAUUUAUUUUUGGGACAGAGAGAGACAGAGCAUGAACGGGGGAGGGGCAGAGAGAGAGGGAGACACAGAAUCGGAAACAGGCUCCAGGCUCUGAGCCAUCAGCCCAGAGCCUGACGCGGGGCUCGAACUCACGGACCGCGAGAUCGUGACCUGGCUGAAGUCAGACGCUUAACCGACUGCGCCACCCAGGCGCCCCGUGAUUUAAAUUUUUAUAAAUAAACGUGUACUAUGAUUAAAAAUAAUAGUACUGCAUUUUUACCUAUCAGUGUCCCAAGCCAAGAUACCUGAAAUAUAACGAGGAAGAGAUUCUUCUGUUCACUCUGAGCAGAUUCCACUUUUUCCUGCAGUCUUUCUAUUUGCUCCUCUAGAGCCCCAUCUUUCCUGUCACUGCUUCUGUCGUCAUCGUCACUUCGCUACAGGAUGCACAGGAACAAAAGGAAAAUGCCUCUUAGAAUUCUAGUAUGUUAGAUCCCAUUAAGUAAGAGAAAGGAUGUUACUGUGUCUGGUCCAGUGCCACUUGAAGACUUGUAUUCUCUAAUGAAAGUACUCCACCACCCAGAUGCACCUGCAUACACCCAAAAGUCCUGUGGGCACUUACCUAGGCCAGGGAAACUUGGUGGCACCUGUCAUGAUAACAGCAGUAAGAGUAUUUGCUAUAGAGCAGAAGUGAGUUACCCCUUUUACAAGACAGACCAUUCAGGGAGGAAGUGUUGGUUACAUUUUUCCUCCAUGCAAAAAGAAAGCAGCUUUGAGCUCCAUGGAAAACGUACAGUAGAUUCUUGUUAUCUACCAUAGUUAUGUGGAUACAUUUGUUGUGAAUCCUGAAUUAGUACUGAACCACUGCUCAGGGAAAUACAGGGUUAGGUUCUUAGGGAGUCUUUGGUUUAUUUUUGUCAACUGAUCAACAAGUAACCUUAUGUGUGUUUCUGUCUAAAGAUAGCUUAUUUAAUAUAUGUGUUUUACAAAUAAUUAUAUACAGUUCUUUAUAUUCAAACGCUGCCUGAGAAAGAUUUAACAUCUUCUUGACCCUGAGUAACAUGACUAAAUUUCUUUGGCUUUCAGCCCCGCAAGAAUGCUGUCUACUACGUUUUUUAAAUCUAUCCUUGUCUUAUGAAUCCACAAAUUGAGCUGCUUUUCCACAGCACUUAGAGAGGUUACUUCGGUCCUUGAUGGAGCAGCCUCACGUACAUACUGGUGAAUUUCCUUUUCCUUUAUCUGGAUUAUGAUACUGUUGAUUUAUGAACACUGAAUUCACGGCCAAGAGCAUGGUCGUUCAUGCCCAAAAGAAGCUCAACUGACUUAUGUGUUUUUACCGUCAGACAUGUCACAGCCUUCUUGCACUUAGGAACACUAGACAGCAUUUCAGCCUUAUGCUUUAGGGCCACUUUAAACCGUAAAAGCCACCAACAAAAGCCCAAACAUGGCAGUAAAUACAUUACGAAAAGGAUGCUUUUUUACAGUAUAAGAAAUGAAACAAGAAGGUAGAGUAUUGCCUUGUUUGACUUUAUCUGGGAACAAGCCCACUGGGCAACUCAAAUUUUUCACUGCUCUGCCUAUGUCUGAAUGAUGGGGAAAGCACCAGGAGUAUUGACUUUGAGGUUACAAAUAAAUCUUAAGUGAGCUUGCAAAAAUAGAACCUGCAAAUAAUGAGGAUAGAUAAUAUAUUCUUAGAACUCUGCUACUGCUCAUUUAAGUAGCAAAGUAGAUGACCAGGGAAAGACCCGACAGUACUUUCCAGUCACUAAUACAAGGCUCUAUGACACUUCAGCAGUGACAACGGAGAGGCAGCUUUCCUCUAACGGCCCUACGGAAAAGCUGGGCAGGCCUGCACGCAGCUCAAGAACCUGCUCACCCUGGCAAUAAUUCAAAAACGGCUCUGACUACAUGUAAUAAUUCAAAGCAGACUGUUCAAGAUUCUGCUGGCAAUGAUGGGCUCAACAUACCUCUGUUAAGCUUUAACGACUCCCUCCCAGCUCAGCCAGAAUCGAACAUUCACUGAGGUGUCCCUCUGCACCGCCCCCCUCCCACCCCAACUUCGUGGUUAGACGACUUUCCCAGUGUCACGUAGCUAGUAAGUGGUUAAGCCAGAAAGUGACUCCAGGUAUAUUACACACCAAUGUCCUCGUGGUCCUUUUAGCAAGAAGGUAGGCAUCACCAGAUCUAGAAAGCCCAUUUCCUUCUAGAUACCUCCCUGUCAGUAAGGCCUCAUCUAUGACAGCCUCUUCCACCCCUAAAGUGAAACUACCAGAACCCCCUGUUUUUAUAGACUUCUGCUUUUCUCUGUAACAGCAUCUAUUAAGGGUCUGCCUUAUGUUCUAGGCAACUGGGCACAAGUUAGUUUUCUCCUAAUACCACACUAAGGCUAGGUUCUAGAGUACUGUUUAUUGCCUGGUAGACUUUUCUAUGAUGAGGGAGAUGUUAAAUCUCUGCUGCCCAUCACAGUAGCCACUAGCCACACUGAGCGCUUGAAAUGGCGUUGGUGUGACUAAAGAACUGAAUUUUAAAUGUAUUUAAUUUUAAUUAACAGUUACAUGUGGCUAGCAGUUACUUUAUUGGACACCACACAUCUAGGGAUCAGUAUGGCAUAAGGGAAAGUCCUUGGAGUUUGACAGGCUCUGUCACUAACCAUGUCACCUUGAGCAAGUUAUUUUAAGUUCUCUGAGCCUCAAUUUACACAUGUAUAAAAUGGGGAUGACACCAUUUACCUUGCAGUAUUUUAAGUUUGUGAGUAUGUGUUUACAUACCAAACAGACACGUAUAUAUGCAGAUCUACAUGGAGACGAGCAUUUGAACCUGCUACAGGUUCAUAGAUGUCAUUAAAUUUAUUCCCACCCACUCUGGUAAAUACACAACAACACUGGAGAAUACUGUCACAAAGAAUACUAGUACUACUAUGCAAAAUCACGGAAUGCAGCCACUUCACUGCUUCCCCCCAAAAUGGCUAAAAUGCUGUACUUACUAUUAAUAUGAGAAGUAUCCUGUGAACCUGGGAAGGAAUUCCCCAUCCCUCCCCACAGGACUGGGGAAGUGAGACACAGACCAGCUUCUCCCUCUCCCCUCUUGCACCAGAAAGUCUUAGGGAAACACAAGUGCCCUCUUUCCUUCUCUGCCUUCCUUUUGGGAAGGGCAAUCAUGAAGCAGAUCCAGAUGGCUAACUACAGAAAAGCAAGGUUUGUGCUUCCUUCCAGGCUCACCAACAGGAGAAGAGCGGAGAGCAACACCUCCCCCAGAUCCUUCCUCUCCCUCCACUUCCAUAUCAGUUCUGCAUAAUUUGUCCUCAGAAAAAAUAAGUUCCCAUCAAGGUAAUGAACUGAAGAUUUUCAAGAGAUUCUGGUAUACUUUCUUGGACCACUAUGAAUUGACAUAAGACUUACCCGUUUGUGUUGCCUUGCGAGUUUUUCUUUUGCUUCUUCCAGCUCUUUCUGGAUUUUCAGAACAUGUUUGUUCAUCUUACGAAUUGUGGAGUGCAAGAUUUCCCAAACAAACAAUCUUAAAAGUAACAGAGUUUGGUUACUGUAUGUUAAAGCAUGCUUCUAGAAAGACCUCUCAGCUUUUAUAACCGACUCAUUUUGAAGGUGAUUCCACUCUUUAGGCAGAAUUAGUCCUAUUUCUCCAGUAACACAUACUUUUUUUUUUUAAGAGAUUGAGUGAGCCUGUGAGUGGGGGAGGGGCAGAGGGGGAAAGAGGGAGAAUCCCAAGCAGGCUCCAUGCCCAGCUCAGAGCCUGGCAGAGCCUGACACAGGGCUCAAUCUCACAACCAUGAGAUCACAACCUGAACCAAAAUCAGGAGUCGGACGCUCAACCAGCUAAGACACCCAGGUACCCCAAUUUUUUUGUAUUAUAAAUUGUGCAAACACCUAUCUCUACCCAUUAGACUCAGGUGAGCUUCCUGAGGCAGUAGUGGGUCCUUAUCACUUUUAUUUCCAUCCUUUACUAGACUUGCUAGAAGGUACGUGUACAUACAUUGAAAUGAAAUGGCACACCAGGAAAAAAUGUACAUUAGGAACAAAAAUCUAUUUUCUCUCUUCUAAAUUUAAACAUCAGGUACUGGAAUUUUC
RNA transcript from Acinonyx jubatus (cheetah), 8625 nucleotides. It is a transcript of the gene named XPA, DNA damage recognition and repair factor, with no coding region annotated. The transcript is spliced from 7 exons. The record is from RefSeq and is a predicted model, not a curated record. NCBI's taxonomy places the organism in Eukaryota, Metazoa, Chordata, Mammalia, Carnivora, Felidae.